AGAGUUUGAUCCUGGCUCAGGAUGAACGCUGGCGGCGUGCUUAACACAUGCAAGUCGAACGGGAAACCUUUUAUUGAAGCUUCGGCAGAUUUAGAUUGUUUCUAGUGGCGGACGGGUGAGUAACGCGUGGGUAACCUGCCUUAUACAGGGGGAUAACAGUCAGAAAUGACUGCUAAUACCGCAUAAGCGCACAGAGCUGCAUGGCUCGGUGUGAAAAACUCCGGUGGUAUAAGAUGGACCCGCGUUGGAUUAGCUAGUUGGUGAGGUAACGGCCCACCAAGGCGACGAUCCAUAGCCGGCCUGAGAGGGUGAACGGCCACAUUGGGACUGAGACACGGCCCAGACUCCUACGGGAGGCAGCAGUGGGGAAUAUUGCACAAUGGGGGAAACCCUGAUGCAGCGACGCCGCGUGAAGGAAGAAGUAUCUCGGUAUGUAAACUUCUAUCAGCAGGGAAGAAAAUGACGGUACCUGACUAAGAAGCCCCGGCUAACUACGUGCCAGCAGCCGCGGUAAUACGUAGGGGGCAAGCGUUAUCCGGAUUUACUGGGUGUAAAGGGAGCGUAGACGGAUGGACAAGUCUGAUGUGAAAGGCUGGGGCUCAACCCCGGGACUGCAUUGGAAACUGCCCGUCUUGAGUGCCGGAGAGGUAAGCGGAAUUCCUAGUGUAGCGGUGAAAUGCGUAGAUAUUAGGAGGAACACCAGUGGCGAAGGCGGCUUACUGGACGGUAACUGACGUUGAGGCUCGAAAGCGUGGGGAGCAAACAGAAAGAGAUACCCUGGUAGUCCACGCGGUAAACGA
Molecule: ribosomal RNA, 800 nt
Filed under: uncultured bacterium
Lineage: Bacteria
Description: bacterial SSU rRNA
Rfam family: Bacterial small subunit ribosomal RNA
Source: RNAcentral